UAAGAUAUAUAAAUUUAUUUUUACUUUUUUGUUGGUAUUUUGAAAUUUUAUCUUAUUUAGUAUUUAAAUUUUUAUUUGAACAUAUAGAAAAAAGUUUUUUAAAAAAACAUUAUGGAUGGAUUUUGAAUUAUGCAACCCGAUCAACCUAACCAAUAUGAGUAUAAUCUAACCAACCUGAACUUAACUCAAGUUAAGAGAAAUGAGGUUGGGUUGGGCUAAUGUUGAUUAUGCUCUGGUUAGCCAUCAGCCUAACCAACUGGCCCAAGUUGCAGCCCUAGUGCUUUUAUACUCUGCCAUUUUGUACCAUAGACGUGUAUAUGCGUGCUUUAGGACUUGGGUAGGAAGAAGGCAGCAACUUAGCAUUGUAUCUCCUAAUUGCAGUUCCCCCACCCCCCAAAAUUAGAUCCAAUAUAGGGAACUGUUGUACUUCAGUUAUUUUACUACCCAUUCAAUCUAACAACUCUAAAUUGCUUCUAUGAUCUCUGAUCAAAAGAAAAAAAAAAUUCUUCUAUGAUCAUUUGAUGUUAUUAUCCAUAUUUAGUUUGGGAAAGUAUGAUGAUAUAUUUUAAAAUUUAUGGCAUGGGUUGUAUGAAAGGUGGCCUGGGAAUUUCUUUGCCAG
RNAcentral lists this long non-coding RNA (619 nucleotides) under Vitis vinifera (wine grape). RNAcentral's name for it is "long non-coding RNA (VVIN_LNC000694)". Lineage: Eukaryota; Viridiplantae; Streptophyta; Magnoliopsida; Vitales; Vitaceae. The record is from RNAcentral.